UCGAGAAUCUUCGGCAAUGGGCGCAAGCCUGACCGAGCGACGCCGCGUGUGGGAUGAAGGCCUUCGGGUUGUAAACCACUGUUAGAGGGGAUGAAAUGCAGGUGGGUUCUCCCAUCUGUUUGACAUAGCCUCAGAGGAAGGACGGGCUAAGUUCGUGCCAGCAGCCGCGGUAAGACGAACCGUCCAAACGUUAUUCGGAAUCACUGGGCUUAAAGGGUGCGUAGGCGGCGCGGCAAGUUGGGUGUGAAAUACCUCGGCUCAACCGAGGAACUGCGCCCAAAACUGCCGUGCUCGAGGAAGAUAGAGGUGAGCGGAACUUAGGGUGGAGCGGUGAAAUGCGUUGAUAUCCUAAGGAACACCGGUGGCGAAAGCGGCUCACUGGAUCUUUUCUGACGCUGAGGCACGAAAGCUAGGGUAGCGAACGGG
Molecule: ribosomal RNA, 426 nt
Filed under: uncultured bacterium
Lineage: Bacteria
Description: bacterial SSU rRNA
Rfam family: Bacterial small subunit ribosomal RNA
Source: RNAcentral